This 415-nucleotide ribosomal RNA is filed under the name uncultured prokaryote. RNAcentral describes it as "bacterial SSU rRNA". It matches the Rfam family "Bacterial small subunit ribosomal RNA", at positions 505 to 918 of the family's 1533-position model. The record is from RNAcentral.
GUGUCAGCCGCCGCGGUAAUACGUAGGUGGCUAGCGUUAUCCGGAUUUAUUGGGCGUAAAGAGGGCGCAGGCGGCUUUUCAAGUCGGAUGUAAAAUCUCCCGGCUUAACUGGGAGGGGUCAUUCGAUACUGUUGGGCUAGAGGGCAGCAGAGGGGGGUGGAAUUCCCGGUGUAGUGGUGAAAUGCGUAGAUAUCGGGAGGAACACCAGUGGCGAAAGCGGCCCCCUGGGCUGUUACUGACGCUUAGGCCCGAAAGCGUGGGGAGCAAACAGGAUUAGAUACCCUGGUAGUCCACGCUGUAAACCAUGGACACUAGGUAUGGGGAGUAUCGACCCUCUCUGUGCCGAAGCUAACGCUUUAAGUGUCCCGCCUGGGAAGUACGGCCGCAAGGCUAAAACUCAAAUGAAUUGGCGGGG